UACGGAGGGUGCAAGCGUUAAUCGGAAUUACUGGGCGUAAAGCGUGCGUAGGCGGUUAUUUAAGUCAGAUGUGAAAGCCCCGGGCUUAACCUGGGAACUGCAUUUGAUACUGGAUGACUAGAGUGUGGUAGAGGAGAGCGGAAUUUCCGGUGUAGCGGUGAAAUGCGUAGAUAUCGGAAGGAACACCAGUGGCGAAGGCGGCUCUCUGGACCAACACUGACGCUGAGGUACGAAAGCGUGGGUAGCAAAC
Molecule: ribosomal RNA, 250 nt
Filed under: uncultured bacterium
Lineage: Bacteria
Description: partial 16S ribosomal RNA
Rfam family: Bacterial small subunit ribosomal RNA
Source: RNAcentral